This 567-nucleotide ribosomal RNA is filed under the name uncultured Glomeromycotina. Its description in RNAcentral is "SSU rRNA". It matches the Rfam family "Eukaryotic small subunit ribosomal RNA", at positions 548 to 1114 of the family's 1831-position model. The record is from RNAcentral. Lineage: Eukaryota; Fungi; Glomeromycota.
UUGGAGGGCAAGUCUGGUGCCAGCAGCCGCGGUAAUUCCAGCUCCAAUAGCGUAUAUUAAAGUUGUUGCAGUUAAAAAGCUCGUAGUUGAACUUCGGGGUUUACCCAUUGGUCAGGCUUAAUUGUCUGUACUGGUGAGAUGAAUCUCUACCUUCUGAGGAACUUUCAUGCCAUUUAUUUGGUGUGAUGGGAAAUCAGGACUGUUACUUUGAAAAAAUUAGAGUGUUUAAAGCAGGCUAACGUCUGAAUACAUUAGCAUGGAAUAAUGAAAUAGGACGGACUGAUUCUAUUUCGUUGGUUUCUAGGAUCACCGUAAUGAUUAAUAGGGAUAGUUGGGGGCAUUAGUAUUCAAUUGUCAGAGGUGAAAUUCUUGGAUUUAUUGAAGACUAACUACUGCGAAAGCAUUUGCCAAGGAUGUUUUCAUUAAUCAAGAACGAAAGUUAGGGGAUCGAAGACGAUCAGAUACCGUCGUAGUCUUAACCAUAAACUAUGCCGACUAGGGAUCGGACGAAGUUAAUUUUAUAAUGACGCGUUCGGCACCCUACGGGAAACCAAAGUGUUUGGGUUC